This 495-nucleotide ribosomal RNA is filed under the name uncultured bacterium. Its description in RNAcentral is "partial 16S ribosomal RNA". It matches the Rfam family "Bacterial small subunit ribosomal RNA", at positions 28 to 507 of the family's 1533-position model. The record is from RNAcentral.
GACGAACGCUGGCGGCGUGCCUAAUACAUGCAAGUAGAACGCUGAAGGAGGAGCUUGCUUCUCUGGAUGAGUUGCGAACGGGUGAGUAACGCGUAGGUAACCUGCCUGGUAGCGGGGGAUAACUAUUGGAAACGAUAGCUAAUACCGCAUAAUAGUAGAUGUUGCAUGACAUUUGCUUAAAAGGUGCAAUUGCAUCACUACCAGAUGGACCUGCGUUGUAUUAGCUAGUUGGUGGGGUAACGGCUCACCAAGGCGACGAUACAUAGCCGACCUGAGAGGGUGAUCGGCCACACUGGGACUGAGACACGGCCCAGACUCCUACGGGAGGCAGCAGUAGGGAAUCUUCGGCAAUGGACGGAAGUCUGACCAAGCAACGCCGCGUGAGUGAAGAAGGUUUUCGGAUCGUAAAGCUCUGUUGUAAGAGAAGAACGAGUGUGAGAGUGGAAAGUUCACACUGUGACGGUAUCUUACCAGAAAGGGACGGCUAACUACGUG